AUGAGUGAAGAACAGAACAGAAUCCAUUUCCUCUUCAAACUGCUGUCAGACAUUAUCUACUGCACUCUGAUCACAUCACUCAGACCAGCUGCUUUCUACAAAGUCUCAUCAACAACAUCUUUAGAAACAAACAUCAACAACCAGGAAGCAGCUUCACCUCUGAUCACACACACACUCAACUCUACUCACUCACCUGGAGGAUCAACAACACUCAGGUCCAUGAUACAGAUAGGCUUGUUCUUGAUGACGGUCUUCUUGUGGCUGUAUCCUCUCUGGACGACACGACACUCGUAUGUCCCACUGUCAGCAAUCAUCACAUCCUUCAGAAUCAAAGACACGUCUCCAUCCUUCAUCUGUCUGUCCUGCAGAUCCACCCGGUUCUUAAAAGAUGGAUGCUGGUCUUCAAGUACAGACCCCUCAUCUCUGUACAAAAGGACAUACUCAUCCAGGUCAGCUCUGCUCCACUCCACAAAUAUGUUGUUGUUGUUUGGAGCUCGACAUGUCAGAGUGAUGUUCUGUCCAGACUCAGCUGUGAUGAUUUUGUGUUCUGAAAGAGGAAACAACACAGAUCAGAGAGGUUAAAGGUCAAAGUACAACUGUUCACCUGUACAACUGAUUAACCUCACUGUUCAUCAUUGGAAUCUUCUAUUUAAAAAGAUUUAAGGAUUUCUGUCUUAUAAAAUGUUUCAGCAUUUUCAAUCAGGAUGACUACAGUAACUUUGAGUCAUGUUUACAAUGCACACUAUAGUGAUUUUAAAAAGGAACUAAAAGGAUUAAACUCUGGUCUCUGUUGAUCUGAUCGGUGGCAUCAGAAGGAAGAUGUUGGCUUGUGAUUUAUUUCACAGAAACACAUUUAUUUUAACUUCAUUAAAAAUAUUUUAAUCAGUAUAAUUUGCUUUGUUAUCUGAAGGUAAUGUUGACACUUCUGCAUUUCAGAGAACUGGAAAUAUCAGAUUAAAGACUGUGAGGUAAAGAAAUGUAAAGAAGUCAGCCAUCUGAUGUAAAAACCAGUUAAUCUGGAGCACCAACAUUGACAGCUCAGGUAAAAAGUGACCUUGCAGCCUAGACAAGCUGCAGGGCUGAAGUCACGUUGGUGUUUGGUGCACGCACUGCAGGUGUUUUUGAGGUGAAUCGGUGGUAAAAUUUAAAAUAGGCCCACUGUGAAAUGUCUAAUCCUCUGUUAAUUGACCUAUAUGUCUUUUUUUAAUUUAUUGCCAUGUGUUGAGAUUAUCCAUGUUAAGAUAUUGUGCACACAAUUUCCAUUAUUGUUAUUAUUAUUCUUUUUUAUUUCUUUUUUAAAAACACAGACCACUUUUGAAAGCCCCCCUGGGGUACAGCUUAAAUUGAAUGCUUUAAUGUUUUUUGUAGAUUUUUAUCCUUCUUGUCUGACUAAAACAUGUUUGUUCUAUUGCAGCCAACUCAGUUGACACCAAUCUGAAAUCAGCUGAUGAGAAGUGGUGACAAAUUUAACACACUUUAAGUGAAAUAGUCAAACAUUCACUAGAUUAAAAACAAAACAUUUAAACAUGAAACAGAAUGUAAUAAAUUCAGAUUUCACCUCCAGAAGCAGCAGAACAGAAGACCAGGAGAGACAGGAAAAUCCAGUAAAGUAGCAAAAAUGUUGUAGCAUUCAUCUAUGCUCUGAGUUCCAAUUAUCAGACUGAAUGCUGAAAUAGUUCCCAAGUAGAAAAAAAAGUUUCCACUCUGCACCAAACUCCCGAGGACAUUAGUUCAGGCUAAGUUUCAAAUGCCUUUGAAAACUCUCACCAUCUGCUCUCGCUGUAUUUGCACUGUGUGCUGUGUUUCAUGGACAACACAAACACAGUUUACAUUCCUGAAAGGGGGAAGGUCUGCUCAUGGCCUAACA
RNAcentral lists this long non-coding RNA (1867 nucleotides) under Oreochromis niloticus (Nile tilapia). Its description in RNAcentral is "lncRNA (ENSONIG00000041459.1)". The record is from RNAcentral. Lineage: Eukaryota; Metazoa; Chordata; Actinopteri; Cichliformes; Cichlidae.